This 439-nucleotide ribosomal RNA is filed under the name uncultured bacterium. RNAcentral's name for it is "partial 16S ribosomal RNA". It matches the Rfam family "Bacterial small subunit ribosomal RNA", at positions 338 to 795 of the family's 1533-position model. The record is from RNAcentral.
CCUACGGGUGGCAGCAGUAGGGAAUAUUGCUCAAUGGGGGAAACCCUGAUGCAGCAACGCCGCGUGAAGGAUGAAGGCCUUCGGAUCGUAAACCUCUUUCCUUAGAGAAGAUAAUGACGGUACUUAACGAAUAAGCACCGGCUAACUCCGUGCCAGCAGCCGCGGUAAUACGUAGGGGGCUAGCGUUAUCCGGAAUAACUGGGCGUAAAGGGUGCGUAGGUGGGUUGUUAAGUCAGUGGUAAAAGCUUAGGGCUAAACCGUAGUAUGCAUUUGAAACUGGUAAACUUGAGUGUAGGAGAGGAAGGUGGAAUUCCUGGUGUAGCGGUGAAAUGCGUAGAUAUUAGGAGGAAUACCAGUUGCGAAGGCGGCCUGCUAGAAUGUAACUGACACUGAGGCACGAAAGCGUGGGGAGCAAACAGGAUUAGAUACCCGGGUAGUC